AUAAAUGUGAUGAAGGAGACAUGGUAUCUUUCCAUUUCAUUCAUAGAGAAUCUGCGGAAUGGUGGAAGCAGAUAUGAAAAGAAGAUAUUACCCCUCCUGAGUAGGAAAAUGGAAAUAGAGUAAAUUUUCCCGGUCGGUCCCGUUACGCCGUCAAAGAGAAGCAUGGCUUUCAUUUGGGUGGAACCGCGGAAAUAACUUUCGUCCCUUAC
This 209-nucleotide non-coding RNA is filed under the name Veillonellaceae bacterium. RNAcentral's name for it is "T-box sequence". It matches the Rfam family "T-box leader". Rfam says of the family: Uncharged tRNA acts as the effector for transcription antitermination of genes in the T-box leader family. T-boxes are found upstream of many aminoacyl-tRNA synthetase genes and some amino acid biosynthetic genes usually in Gram-positive bacteria. The anticodon of a specific tRNA base pairs to a specifier sequence within the T-box motif, and the NCCA acceptor tail of the tRNA base pairs to a conserved bulge in the T-box antiterminator hairpin. The record is from RNAcentral. Lineage: Bacteria; Bacillati; Bacillota; Negativicutes; Veillonellales; Veillonellaceae.